AGCAGCCGCCGCGGUAAUACGUAGGGGGCAAGCGUUAUCCGGAAUUACUGGGUGUAAAGGGAGCGUAGACGGUUAAACAAGUCUGAAGUGAAAUGCCGGGGCUCAACCCCGGAGCUGCUUUGGGAACUGUAGAACUGGAGUGUCGGAGGGGUAAGCGGAAUUCCCAGUGUAGCGGUGAAAUGCGUAGAUAUUGGGAGGAACACCGGCGGCGAAGGCGGCUUACUGGACGACAACUGACGUUGAGGCUCGAAGGCGUGGGUAGCAAACAGGAUUAGAUACCCGAGUAGUCCCUGUCUCUUAUAC
Molecule: ribosomal RNA, 303 nt
Filed under: uncultured bacterium
Lineage: Bacteria
Description: partial 16S ribosomal RNA
Rfam family: Bacterial small subunit ribosomal RNA
Source: RNAcentral